This 1220-nucleotide long non-coding RNA is filed under the name Phascolarctos cinereus (koala). Its description in RNAcentral is "lncRNA (ENSPCIG00000033900.1)". The record is from RNAcentral. Lineage: Eukaryota; Metazoa; Chordata; Mammalia; Diprotodontia; Phascolarctidae.
CUGAAUGUCAUUCAGAGUGAACUAUUUAAAAUAAAAGCCACUUUUUAGUGUCAUCAAACUUUGCUAACUUCUUUUCAUACCAUUGUACCUUACCUGUUGGACGAGGCCUUAGUGAAUCUAGAGCACGAGCAGCAGGUAUAGAUUAAAAGCACUAAAUGCUUCUAGAACUGAAGACAGAGUGGUACGGGAAAGAGGAAUGGCCCUGGGAGGCCUCUGGAGUCAAUUCUUACCCCUAACCCUUAUUAUCUGUGUGAGUUUGGGCAAAUCACUUGACGGUCUCUAUAAAGUGAGGGAGCUGAGGUAGGUGGCUUAUGAUUGUAUGGAUGGGAUGGGCUUGGCAGAUUUUGGAGGGCUUAAUGCCAGGAGCCUGAGGCAGUUCAGUGGUGGGUUCGUAGAAGAGUGAGCAUGCUAGGCCUUGUAUAUUUCUUAAAAAAAAGCAUCACCUACCUUUUACAACUUCAUCAUUACAGGAAUCACUUAUCUCUCUGUAAGAAUCAUUUACCAAAAAAAAAAAAAAAGAACCAUUUGCCAAGAGAUGACCAUAACAUUUGUUCAAAUUACAGGUUCCUAGGUAUAGUGUCUUUGCUGCAGCUGAUGCAUUCAGUUAUGGUACAGAUAUGGCUUCAACCAGAGGCAAAAGGUGGGGUGCCUUCUGCUGGUCUUCGAUAAAUGUGCCUGGGUUAUACUUAGUCUUUUUUUUUUAAAGGCUACAUUUAAGGAAUUUAGCACAUCUCUAUGAACUGUUGGUAUAGUAUUCUGUGAUAUUAUUAAAGCAUUAUUGUUAAUCGAUGCUCAAAUUUGUUUAAAAUAGGGAUCUUUUGGGGGGCAUUUGGAAGGACAUUUCAAACAGAUAAUCAGCCUCCUUUUUCUUUCUUUCUUUUUUCCUAAACUAAUACUUUCCACUAAAAACUCAAACAUUUUGAGAAUAUUGCCCGUACACUGAAGAUGAAGUUUUACAUUCAUGACAAGAAGCCUCACAAGAUAUGAUGCUCUUCUAUUCCUCACAAAAGAAAUCAGCACUUCCAUAUUUACUCAUGAGGAAACAUGCUUAGUGAGGUUAUAUAUUAUUUGUGUUCAUAGUUUUUAGAAGUUGAGAGAAACAUUAGAGAUCAUCUCCUUGUCCAAAUUCAUACCAUGGCAGAGACAGGAUUAAAACGUAAAUAAUAGGAAUCAGAUUUAGAAUGGGUCUUGGAGAGCAUAGUAUUAUAAAUUGAGAGCUG